CGCGCCGCCCUCCCGGGGGUUUUUAUGAAUGAAAGGGCCGUAUGCAAAUGAGCGCGGCCCGGGGGGAGCGCGAAAUGGCGGAUGCGCGGGCGGGCGGCGCGCACACGAACGCGCGUGUCCGCGUCCCUCUGUCCGCCCGCGGCCGGUGCGUCUGUCCGUCCGUGCACGGGGUGCGGGGGGUGAGCGACCCGCACCGGUUCCCGCCGGGGCAACAAAGGCUGCCCCCUCUACCGUCCCCCCCGCCCGCCCGCCGCCCCCGGCCCCGCUCACUCGUCAGGGUCCUCUGUGAUCAGGCAAUCCUGGGAGAAGAAAUGUGUCUGUACCACCUAAGCACAUCACCUUGCCCUCCAGCUUUUGCAGGCCGCUCCACUGCAGCAUCCCUUUCCCACUGAAGGAACAGAAAUGGAAUCCCGGAGAGAAAUCUGUGGACUGCUAGUAAUGAGAUAGAGGCAAGAGCUGAUGAAAGCUUUGAGGUCUUCUCCCCAGGGAGAAGCAGCAUGGCCUUUGGAGGUGGUACCAGAAUCUGCAGCUUUGUGGCACAAUAUUAUAGUAAUGCUCCAGUCACUGCUAGAGGUUCGGCCAUAACACCAGAUAAUGUGUGAGAGUGCAAGCCUGCUGCUCUCCCCUUGGCAGACUGUGGGUGCUCUUUUGGGUGGCAAUGCUGCCUGUCCCCCCACCCCCUUCCCACCCAUUCCUUUGCAAAUCACAGUUUGUCACCCCCUCGGCUGUGUUAAUGCAUCCCCCACUGAGGAGUGACACUGCUGGAUCUGCUAAAUGGUCCCAGCUAAUAAUACCCCCCAAUGCCUCUUUCUUUUGGAAAGUUAUUCAAGGAUCCAGCUUGCAGAAUGGCAUGAUAAACAUCUUGGAAAAGCUGAGCUGGCAGCAAAAGGAAGUGUCAGGGCAGGAGUAAGGGGUCGGGGGCAAGGAAAUGGUAGGAACGUCUUCAGCUGUUGUACAAUAAAAGACCAGAUGUAAUGAUUUGACAUUUCCACCCAUCCUAUGUCUUUUUUUUUUUCCCAAAGGAUGCUGAGAUUGCAUAGACUUCUAACAUGCUCAAAAUCUUUCAUGCCAAAAAUUUCUGUGAUUAGCAGGAACAUUGAUGUGCCUGAAGUGGGGAGUGUGGUAUUUAGCAGUUGGUUACUACAGAAGCAGAAUAUGGGGAGAGUUAUAGCCAUGUGAAAAACCCAGGGCACAAUCAUGUAAUUAAAAGGCCAUUAUAAUGGUUA
Long non-coding RNA from Corvus hawaiiensis (hawaiian crow), 1226 nucleotides. RefSeq lists it as uncharacterized. The transcript is spliced from 3 exons. NCBI's taxonomy places the organism in Eukaryota, Metazoa, Chordata, Aves, Passeriformes, Corvidae. The record is from RefSeq and is a predicted model, not a curated record.